AACCUAGCACACCUGCGGUGUGUACCUGCGGAGGGAUCAUUGCACAAUACAAUAUGAAGGCUGUCCGCAGCUGGAGUAUUUUAUUACCCUUGUCUUUUGCGCACUUGUUGUUUCCUGGGCGGGUUCGCUCGCCACCAGGACCACCAAAUAAACCUUUUUUAUGCAGUUGCAAUCAGCGUCAGUACAAACAAUGUAAAUCAUUUACAACUUUUAACAAUGGAUCUCAGAUCGGAAGAGCAC
RNAcentral lists this unclassified non-coding RNA (240 nucleotides) under soil metagenome. RNAcentral describes it as "partial contains 5.8S ribosomal RNA, internal transcribed spacer 2, and large subunit ribosomal RNA". The record is from RNAcentral.